CGGCUCACAUGCAAUCGAACGGUAACAGGAAGAAGCUUGCUCUUUGCUGACGAGUGGCGGACGGGUGAGUAAUGUCUGGGAAACUGCCGAUGGAGGGGGAUAACUACUGGAAACGGUAGCUAAUACCGCAUAACGUCCCAGGACCAAAGAGGGGGACCUUCGGGCCUCUUGCCAUCGGAUGUGCCCAGUCGGGAAGCCCUGUAUGUGGGGUGCUUCGUCUGCGCGACUAUAACUAGUGGGUCGGACAGGACGACCACCCACUGAGGACUAACAUCCUCCCACAACUCCACCGGAGGCACUGUGGGGCUAUUUUGAAUUGGGGGCCGGACCGAUGGCACCAUCGCACAUGGGUGAAAACGACUUCCUUUUUGUUCCACUUUUUUUCCACGAAGGAGGAGUAAAGUUAAGACCUUUCUUCUUGACGUUCCCCAAAGAAAAAACACCUGCCAACUCCCUUCCAGCCCCCGCGGUAAAAAGGAAGGUGCAACGUUUUAUCA
This 497-nucleotide ribosomal RNA is filed under the name Escherichia coli. RNAcentral describes it as "partial 16S ribosomal RNA". It matches the Rfam family "Bacterial small subunit ribosomal RNA", at positions 45 to 537 of the family's 1533-position model. Lineage: Bacteria; Pseudomonadati; Pseudomonadota; Gammaproteobacteria; Enterobacterales; Enterobacteriaceae. The record is from RNAcentral.